UGGGGAAUCUUGCGCAAUGGGCGAAAGCCUGACGCAGCGACGCCGCGUGCGGGAAGAAGGCCUUCGGGUUGUAAACCGCUUUCAGGAGGGACGAAGCCACUCGGGUGAACAGCCCAGAGGGUGACGAUACCUCCAGAAGAAGCCCCGGCUAACUACGUGCCAGCAGCCGCGGUAAUACGUAGGGGGCAAGCGUUGUCCGGAUUCAUUGGGCGUAAAGAGCGUGUAGGCGGCCAGGUAGGUCGGUUGUGAAAACUGGAGGCUCAACCUUCAGAGGUCGACCGAAACCAUCUGGCUAGAGUCCGGGAGAGGAGAGUGGAAUUCCUGGUGUAGCGGUGAAAUGCGCAGAUAUCAGGAAGAACACCCGUGGCGAAAGCGGCUCUCUGGAACGGUACUGACGCUGAGACGCGAAAGCGUGGGGAGCGAACAGGAUUAGAUACCCUGGUAGUCCACGCCGUAAACGAUGGGCGCUAGGUGUGGGAGGUGUCGACUCCUUCCGUGCCGCAGCUAACG
RNAcentral lists this ribosomal RNA (510 nucleotides) under uncultured Actinomycetes bacterium. RNAcentral describes it as "bacterial SSU rRNA". It matches the Rfam family "Bacterial small subunit ribosomal RNA", at positions 355 to 857 of the family's 1533-position model. The record is from RNAcentral. Lineage: Bacteria; Bacillati; Actinomycetota; Actinomycetes.